GUCGAGAAUCUUUCACAAUGGGGGCAACCCUGAUGGAGCGACGCCGCGUGGAGGAUAAGGUCUUCGGAUUGUAAACUCCUGUCAUGCGUGAACAAGGUUGCUUGGUUAAUACCUGGGCAAAUUGAUGGUAACGCAAGAGGAAGAGACGGCUAACUCUGUGCCAGCAGCCGCGGUAAUACAGAGGUCUCAAGCGUUGUUCGGAAUCACUGGGCGUAAAGGGUGGGUAGGUGGCGUGGUAAGUCAGAUGUGAAAGCCCGGGGCUCAACCUCGGAACUGCAUCCGAUACUGCCAUGCUAGAGUACUGGAGAGGUGACUAGAAUUCUCGGUGUAGCAGUGAAAUGCGUAGAUAUCGAGAGGAAUACCAAAGGCGUAGGCAGGUCACUGGACAGUUACUGACACUGAGGCACGAAGGCCAGGGGAGCGAACGGGAUUAGAAACCCCUGUAGUCC
Molecule: ribosomal RNA, 449 nt
Filed under: uncultured bacterium
Lineage: Bacteria
Description: partial 16S ribosomal RNA
Rfam family: Bacterial small subunit ribosomal RNA
Source: RNAcentral